This 252-nucleotide ribosomal RNA is filed under the name uncultured bacterium. RNAcentral describes it as "partial 16S ribosomal RNA". It matches the Rfam family "Bacterial small subunit ribosomal RNA", at positions 524 to 776 of the family's 1533-position model. The record is from RNAcentral.
UACGUAGGUCCCGAGCGUUGUCCGGAUUUAUUGGGCGUAAAGCGAGCGCAGGUGGUUUAUUAAGUCUGGUGUAAAAGGCAGUGGCUCAACCAUUGUAUGCAUUGGAAACUGGUAGACUUGAGUGCAGGAGAGGAGAGUGGAAUUCCUAGUGUAGCGGUGAAAUGCGUAGAUAUUAGGAGGAACACCAGUUGCGAAGGCGGCUCUCUGGACUGUAACUGACACUGAGGCACGAAAGCGUGGGGAGCAAACAGG